This 462-nucleotide ribosomal RNA is filed under the name uncultured bacterium. RNAcentral's name for it is "bacterial SSU rRNA". It matches the Rfam family "Bacterial small subunit ribosomal RNA", at positions 28 to 475 of the family's 1533-position model. The record is from RNAcentral.
GAUGAACGCUGGCGGCGUGCCUAAUACAUGCAAGUAGAACGCUGAAGCUUGGUGCUUGCACCGAGCGGAUGAGUUGCGAACGGGUGAGUAACGCGUAGGUAACCUGCCUGGUAGCGGGGGAUAACUAUUGGAAACGAUAGCUAAUACCGCAUAAGAGUAGAUGUUGCAUGACAUUUGCUUAAAAGGUGCAAUUGCAUCACUACCAGAUGGACCUGCGUUGUAUUAGCUAGUUGGUGAGGUAACGGCUCACCAAGGCAACGAUACAUAGCCGACCUGAGAGGGUGAUCGGCCACACUGGGACUGAGACACGGCCCAGACUCCUACGGGAGGCAGCAGUAGGGAAUCUUCGGCAAUGGACGGAAGUCUGACCGAGCAACGCCGCGUGAGUGAAGAAGGUUUUCGGAUCGUAAAGCUCUGUUGUAAGAGAAGAACGAGUGUGAGAGGGAAAGUCACACUGGACGG